UUCGCUUCUGCUUUCACAAGUACAUUCCCUUGAGGAAGUCAGAAGGGCCUGACGCCUACAGAGAGGAGGUGUAUGAAUGUGUCGCCAAAAUGGCAUCGGUAUUCACCGCUGUCCUGAAUCCGGAUUGGAUAGACGCGAAGAAC
This is a long non-coding RNA of Rhipicephalus microplus (southern cattle tick), 143 nucleotides long. The record is from RefSeq and is a predicted model, not a curated record. Lineage: Eukaryota; Metazoa; Arthropoda; Arachnida; Ixodida; Ixodidae.